Molecule: long non-coding RNA, 465 nt
Organism: Homarus americanus (American lobster)
Lineage: Eukaryota; Metazoa; Arthropoda; Malacostraca; Decapoda; Nephropidae
Exons: 3
Source: RefSeq, a predicted model, not a curated record
AACUGCGAGCGUCGAGGUAGGACAUUGAGGCAGCGUGUUGCCUGUGGUCCCGAGCCCCCUUGCAUUAAGGUCUCUGUGACUUACCUACCGCGUUAUGGCGUAUGAAAAAUAUUGGUGUAAAAUAUAAUACAGUGUAUGUUUGUAGCUUGUGAAUAGUUGUAGAUGUAUCGCAACAAUUGUUAGAAAAUGUAUUUAACUAUGAAUUUAUCGAAAGGGUACAUGUUUUUUUGAAAACUAGAAAGGAAAAAACUUUUAGGGGUGACAGCCGCUGGUGUAGCAUCACACACUGGGAUGACGUCACUCAGGAGCUAUGGCGUGAAGGCAGUGCUGUGGGGGGUGAUGGUGGCAGUGUGUGUUAUAGAAGUCGACGGAGGAACAGAAGCAGAGAUCUUAGGGCAUUAGACAGGCAGCAGCAGGAGGAUCGUGGGGUUAUGUGCCUCUCAGUGGUCCUACAUCGACCUUCAU